Molecule: ribosomal RNA, 467 nt
Filed under: uncultured bacterium
Lineage: Bacteria
Description: partial 16S ribosomal RNA
Rfam family: Bacterial small subunit ribosomal RNA
Source: RNAcentral
GACGAACGCUGGCGGCGUGCUUAACACAUGCAAGUCGAACGGAAAGGCCCUGCUUUUGUGGGGUGCUCGAGUGGCGAACGGGUGAGUAACACGUGAGUAACCUGCCCUUGACUUUGGGAUAACUUCAGGAAACUGGGGCUAAUACCGGAUAGGAGCUCCUGCUGCAUGGUGGGGGUUGGAAAGUUUCGGCGGUUGGGGAUGGACUCGCGGCUUAUCAGCUUGUUGGUGGGGUAGUGGCUUACCAAGGCUUUGACGGGUAGCCGGCCUGAGAGGGUGACCGGCCACAUUGGGACUGGGAUACGGCCCAGACUCCUACGGGAGGAAGGAGUGGGGAAUAUUGCACAAUGGGCGGAAGCCUGAUGCAGCAACGCCGCGUGCGGGAUGACGGCCUUCGGGUUGUAAACCGCUUUCGCCUGUGACGAAGCGUGAGGGACGGAAUGGGUAAAGAAGCACCGGCUAACUACGUG